AGCGAACGCUGGCGGCAGGCUUAACACAUGCAAGUCGAGCGGGCAUCCUUGUGGUGUCAGCGGCAGACGGGUGAGUAACGCGUGGGAACGUGCCCUUCGGUUCGGAAUAACUCAGGGAAACUUGAGCUAAUACCGGAUACGUGCGAGAGCAGAAAGGUUUAUCUGCCGAAGGAUCGGCCCGCGUCUGAUUAGCUAGUUGGUGAGGUUAUGGCUCACCAAGGCGACGAUCUGUAGCUGGUCUGAGAGGAUGAUCAGCCACACUGGGACUGAGACACGGCCCAGACUCCUACGGGAGGCAGCAGUGGGGAAUAUUGGACAAUGGGGGCAACCCUGAUCCAGCCAUGCCGCGUGAGUGAUGACGGCCUUAGGGUUGUAAAGCUCUUUUCUCCGGGACGAUAAUGACGGUACCGGAGGAAUAAGCCCCGGCUAACUUCGUG
Molecule: ribosomal RNA, 437 nt
Filed under: uncultured bacterium
Lineage: Bacteria
Description: partial 16S ribosomal RNA
Rfam family: Bacterial small subunit ribosomal RNA
Source: RNAcentral